UCGACGUUGAUGAUUCACGAGCAGAGGUGCCACCUCCAAGGCGCUAAUUGAUGAUGCAAACCGAGUUUAUUUUAGCGCACUCGAGUCGACUGCUGCCGGUGGAGGAUUCACUGGAAA
RNAcentral lists this small nucleolar RNA (117 nucleotides) under Drosophila erecta. RNAcentral describes it as "snoRNA:GG25857". Lineage: Eukaryota; Metazoa; Arthropoda; Insecta; Diptera; Drosophilidae. The record is from RNAcentral.